AGCAAUAAGUUUGUUUUGGAAAAAGGAAACCUAGAACGAAGAAGAACGAGAUUUGUGAGCAAAAAACAUAUGUGGAGAUUUUUUUAGAAAAACAAAGAAAACAAAAGGCAAAGAAGAGGAGAGCGGACAAAUUUACAAAUUUUUUCUUCUUCUUUCAUUAGGAAUUUCGUUUCAACAAUGGAGUUCGUUUAAAGCUCGCGAAGAGUUCGUUGAAGUUAUCGGCUGAGGUUCAAGUUCGUCUUUCUGGUCGGUGUACGUUCAUUUCGGUAUGUUUCUUUGGAUAAAAAUGCGUUUCAUUAUUGAAUGUGUAAAUUUCAAGAUAAUAUUUAUAAAAAUUUUAAUUCGAUUUUUUAGUAGUGAUUUUGAGUAGGUCUGCUAUGAUCAUAUCCCUUCUUUGAUUUCUCAUGUUACAAUGUUCAUAAGGAAAGCUCAAGCUAUAGUUAGCCUUGAUUUUAUAUUUUUUUUUGCAAAACACUAAUUGCCAAGGAGUUAUAUAAAAAGGCACAAACCUGCAUUAUGUCCCAUGGUUUAGUUUUCAGAUUGUAGACUAAAUACAUUAAUAAAAAAAUUUAAAGCUAUCAGAUAGUAACAAGGCUUAUCAGUUAGUAAAGUCACUUCCACAAAGAAAAUAAAACGUACUGUAAAAUUUUAAAAUAAGAAUAUUUAAAAACAUACAUAUACAACCUAAUCGCGUAAAACUUUAAAAUUCUCGUAUGAUGAGUAUUAUGUGUUCCUAGUUUGUUCUGAUGGAAUUUUUCAUCCAUGUUAAUUUGGUCACUAAUAAUAUUAUCUAAAUUGAGAGUAAUGACUCACAUUCUGAUUUGUCCGAAGAAGUUUCUCACUGUUAAUUUUCAUUAGGCAUAUUUUGUAUUGAACUCCAUGUGUUCAGGGGUUAAAAGAAGGGAGUAGCUGUAAGUUCGUUUAUGGGUGUGUAUUAAUAGAUAAAUUAUCACGAUUGUGUAUAUGUUCUCCUGGCAUAAUUAUGAUUUUUAAUCUUAAAAUCAAAGUAUGUGUUCGUACAACUUUGACAGAAACAAUCUUAACAAAAUAUACAAACAUAUAUCUCGAGUAUAAAAGAGGCAAAAUAAUUAAAUAUUUUAAAUACGCUAUUAGCCCAUGUGUUCAUACCCGAACCUUAGAUUGAUACGCUUAAAUAAUAAAAGGAUCAUGUGCACAUUCCGCGUCUUGAUACCGUUUUAAUUUAAAAUAAUUAUGUUAGAACCAUGUGUACAUUCCGUACAUUGGUUUAAUAUUUAAUUUCAAGGAAGUACCUUGUGUGCAUAUCUCAUAUUGGUAAAAGUAACUAAUAAAAAAAUAUAAUAAAUUAAGUGAAGCGGCAAUAAACAAGCCACAAUCAAUACAAUACAAGAAUAGCUAAAAAUUGAUUUAAGCCUUACAUUAAUCAAUAGAAGCGACCGUGCUAGAACCACGGGACUUGAGGGGUGCCUUACACCUUCCCCUCGGUCGACAGAAUUCCUUGCUCAGUCUUCUGUUUUCGUGGACCAUAAAUUAAGAGUCAAACCUUCCUUUUGAAAAGGGAUUCAAUAAAAGGUGACUUGGAACACCAAAGCUCAAUUCCAAAUGACGACUCUAAAUAAUAAAUAAUCCCUUUUCAAAACGUCACUUUAAUUGGAAAAACUCUUCUAACUCAACCUCGUAAUUGGGUUGUGUGACAAAAAAGAGGUGUGACAAUACUCAUUUCAAACUCACACCCCAUUAAUUUAGCAAAAUCCUUCUCAAAUUAUCAGUAGUAGCCCCAAAUAUUAUGUCAUCAACAUAUAUUUGUACAACAAUGAGGUCUUCGUGUAUGAAAAAAGAGGCAUGACAGCGACAACAUGAUGACUCUGCUGGGGAAACUUUUAAGCUCUUACCAUAACGAACUUAUCUUUUAGUAGUCCAAACAUGCUUUAUCCUGUAUCCUUUUCCCUGAUUUGAAUUUAACUGUCCAUUUUCUUUUAAGUAUUCAUGAUUCUUUAUCCCUGAAAUUGAUUUGUCUCUUUAUUUUCUUUUCCUGUAACUGCCUUUCAAUUAUUUAAAUAUUGUAUUUAUUUUCCUGCAUGCAAAUACUUGACUACAUGUUAUUAAUUGCUGCAUAAAUUAUGUUCCACACCAUAUUCCACUCAUGCAUUACAAGUCCUAUAGCAACACUUAAAUGAGUGGUUGCGCUUUUCCUGUUUACUACCCUUAAAUUCGGAAAGACAUAUUUGCGAUAAAAUCAGGCAAUCAUUGAUGCAGUCGAUGGUUCUGUGCCUCCCCCUCCCCCCUCCCAAGUUUUCCGCUUCAGGGUACCAGUCUAAAAUCUCAUAGUCGCUUUACUAUAGUCAAAAUUGUGUAUGCAUCAUGGUCAAAAAUAGUCGAAUUAAUAUGCUAUCCACAUAACGAUCCUUUAGGAUAAGCAGUAUCCAAAAGUCCAUCGGAUUUUCCAUAAUCCCAACGAACACAAUCACGUUCUAUGAAUUAAUUUUGAGAACUAAAUGCCGAUAUGCUAAUCGUAAAUGUAUAAAUAGUCGAGUCUGGUGGAGGUAAGGCCUAACCCUUUUAUUUUUGCAGAAAAUGAGGUACGAGGUCCCCAGAUUCGGUAUAGUUAGCAACAUCCCACCAUUGCUGCUAGAUUGGUGGAGGAACUUUCAUCAAGUGAUAAGAAGCAUGUGAGAAAGUGCCUGUGUAAGUUGCCUUCCUUGGUAUAUAUUGAUCCAAACAACAAGUUGAUCGAUGCUGCCACUUUAUUCUAGGAUAGUGAACGGGCUGUGUUGCCUUUCGGCGACAUAGAAAUGACAUUGCUUCUAGAAGAAAUUGGAGGUCUUGCGAGAUUGACUUGGGAUGGUCCCGGGUUAUUGGUACCAGAUCAUACUGGCAGGGGAUUUUUAAAGAUGAUG
This 2876-nucleotide long non-coding RNA is filed under the name Nicotiana benthamiana. Its description in RNAcentral is "long non-coding RNA (NBEN_LNC029927)". Lineage: Eukaryota; Viridiplantae; Streptophyta; Magnoliopsida; Solanales; Solanaceae. The record is from RNAcentral.